GGGUGAUUAGCUCAGCUGGGAGAGCACCUCCCUUACAAGGAGGGGGUCGGCGGUUCGAUCCCGUCAUCACCCUGCA
This 76-nucleotide transfer RNA is filed under the name Salmonella enterica subsp. enterica serovar Newport. Its description in RNAcentral is "tRNA-Val". It matches the Rfam family "tRNA". From Rfam's summary of the family: Transfer RNA (tRNA) molecules are approximately 80 nucleotides in length. Their secondary structure includes four short double-helical elements and three loops (D, anti-codon, and T loops). Lineage: Bacteria; Pseudomonadati; Pseudomonadota; Gammaproteobacteria; Enterobacterales; Enterobacteriaceae. The record is from RNAcentral.